GGGCUAAUGAUGAGAAAUACAAUUAUCUUAGCGGAUUUCAGUGAGAUUUUUGAUCAAUGAUCUGAUUGUUACAAACACUGAAGAUC
RNAcentral lists this small nucleolar RNA (86 nucleotides) under Helianthus annuus (common sunflower). Its description in RNAcentral is "sRNA HanXRQr2_Chr17g0807731". It matches the Rfam family "Small nucleolar RNA R11/Z151". From Rfam's summary of the family: snoR11/Z151 is a member of the C/D class of snoRNA which contain the C (UGAUGA) and D (CUGA) box motifs. Most of the members of the box C/D family function in directing site-specific 2'-O-methylation of substrate RNAs. The record is from Rfam by way of RNAcentral. Lineage: Eukaryota; Viridiplantae; Streptophyta; Magnoliopsida; Asterales; Asteraceae.